AGCGAACGCUGGCGGCAGGCCUAACACAUGCAAGUCGAACGAACUCUUCGGAGUUAGUGGCGGACGGGUGAGUAACACGUGGGAACGUGCCUUUAGGUUCGGAAUAACUCAGGGAAACUUGUGCUAAUACCGAAUGUGCCCUUCGGGGGAAAGAUUUAUCGCCUUUAGAGCGGCCCGCGUCUGAUUAGCUAGUUGGUGAGAUAAAGGCUCACCAAGGCGACGAUCAGUAGCUGGUCUGAGAGGAUGAUCAGCCACAUUGGGACUGAGACACGGCCCAAACUCCUACGGGAGGCAGCAGUGGGGAAUCUUGCGCAAUGGGCGAAAGCCUGACGCAGCCAUGCCGCGUGAAUGAUGAAGGUCUUAGGAUUGUAAAAUUCUUUCACCGGGGACGAUAAUGACGGUACCCGGAGAAGAAGCCCCGGCUAACUUCGUG
RNAcentral lists this ribosomal RNA (433 nucleotides) under uncultured bacterium. Its description in RNAcentral is "partial 16S ribosomal RNA". It matches the Rfam family "Bacterial small subunit ribosomal RNA", at positions 29 to 507 of the family's 1533-position model. The record is from RNAcentral.